GAGACGCACCUGUAGAGAUCGCAUCAAUGGUGAUCCCUUGUCUUCUGGCUGCCAGCUGGAUUAGGCUAAUGUAGUCUCCCUGUAGGAGGCUGGAGAGCUGGAGAAGAGUGAAGCUGGAGGAGUGGUUCUUCUGAUUUCCUUCUUGCAAGGUCACCUUCAGCUGGAGAUUUGGCCAAGUUGGGGAGAUCUCGAGAAGAUGCUACAGAUGUCUACAGCACCCGAGUAGAAGGCUUGAGGAGCCGGCCGAAUUUCAAAAGAAGACUAGCCCUGAGCUAACUACUGCCAGUCCUCCUCUAUUUGCUGAGGAAGCCUGGCCCUGAACUAACAUCUGUGCCCAUCUUCCUCUACGUUUAUAUGUGGAACUCCUACCACAGCAUGGCAUGCCAAGCGGUACCAGGUCCUCACCGGGAUCCAGACCGGCGAACCCCAGGCCAUUGAAGAGCUGAACGGGCGAACUUAACCGCUGCACCACCGGGUUUCCUCCACUCUAUUCUUGGUUUACCACCUGCCAUGGGGACCACAGUGAUAUCAAUGACUGCAUAGGAACAGAAGACAAACAUGCUGAGGAAGCACCAGAAUCUACUUCAAAAGUUAAUAAUUCUAUUAAGAAGAAUGUGCCUGAAGACUGUGAUUUAAUAUGCAGCUGCAGAUGGUCAAUGAAGAAAUCUCCCCAAAGUUU
RNAcentral lists this long non-coding RNA (679 nucleotides) under Equus caballus (horse). RNAcentral describes it as "lncRNA (ENSECAG00000051601.1)". Lineage: Eukaryota; Metazoa; Chordata; Mammalia; Perissodactyla; Equidae. The record is from RNAcentral.